RNAcentral lists this unclassified non-coding RNA (134 nucleotides) under uncultured Saccharomycetales. Lineage: Eukaryota; Fungi; Ascomycota; Saccharomycetes. The record is from RNAcentral.
ACGAAUAUGAUUUAUAUCUUCAUCUUUGUGAACACUUUAGUCUUUAUUGACUUUAAUUGCUUCGGUCGCUGUUAGCAGCGGCCGGUAGAAAAACUUUUUAAACUUUAGUCUAAUACUUAAGAUUUUAAUAAUCA